Non-coding RNA from Acanthosepion pharaonis, 104 nucleotides. Lineage: Eukaryota; Metazoa; Mollusca; Cephalopoda; Sepiida; Sepiidae. The record is from the annotation of a GenBank genome assembly.
UGCGUAUAUAUCACGUUCAAACACCGGUUCUCGUCAGAACCCCUAAAUGAAGCAACAUCGGGCCAAGUCAGUACCUAGACGGGUAACCGCUUGGGAAAACCAGG